AUACUUACCUGGCAGGGGAGAUACCAUGAUCAAGUAGGUGGUUUUCCCAGGGCGAGGCCCACCCAUUGCACUUGGGGUGUGCUGACCCCUGCGAUUUCCCCAAAUGCGGGAAACUCGACUGCAUAAUUUGUGUUAGUGGGGGACUGCGUUCGCGCUCUCCCCUG
This is a small nuclear RNA of Cricetulus griseus (Chinese hamster), 164 nucleotides long. Its record names the gene U1. It matches the Rfam family "U1 spliceosomal RNA". From Rfam's summary of the family: U1 is a small nuclear RNA (snRNA) component of the spliceosome (involved in pre-mRNA splicing). Its 5' end forms complementary base pairs with the 5' splice junction, thus defining the 5' donor site of an intron. NCBI's taxonomy places the organism in Eukaryota, Metazoa, Chordata, Mammalia, Rodentia, Cricetidae. The record is from Ensembl.